Molecule: ribosomal RNA, 253 nt
Filed under: uncultured bacterium
Lineage: Bacteria
Description: partial 16S ribosomal RNA
Rfam family: Bacterial small subunit ribosomal RNA
Source: RNAcentral
UACGAGGGGGGCAAAUGUUGUUCGGAAUCACUGGGCGUAAAGGGAGCGUAGGCUGGUUCUUAAGUUAGGUGUUUAAUCCCGGGGCCCAACCCCGGACCGGCACUUAAAACUGGGAAUCUUGAAUAGAGGAGAGGUCAGUGGAAUUGGAGGUGUAGCGGUGGAAUGCGUAGAGAUCUCCAAGAACACCAGUUGCGAAGGCGGCUGACUGGACUCAUAUUGACGCUGAGGCUCGAAAGCAUGGGGAGCAAACAGG